RNAcentral lists this ribosomal RNA (492 nucleotides) under uncultured bacterium. RNAcentral's name for it is "bacterial SSU rRNA". It matches the Rfam family "Bacterial small subunit ribosomal RNA", at positions 29 to 512 of the family's 1533-position model. The record is from RNAcentral.
AUUGAACGCUGGCGGAAUGCUUUACACAUGCAAGUCGAACGGCAGCACGGGGGCAACCCUGGUGGCGAGUGGCGAACGGGUGAGUAAUACAUCGGAACGUGCCCAAUCGUGGGGGAUAACGUAGCGAAAGCUACGCUAAUACCGCAUACGAUCUACGGAUGAAAGCGGGGGAUCGCAAGACCUCGCGCGAAUGGAGCGGCCGAUGGCAGAUUAGGUAGUUGGUGGGGUAAAAGGCUCACCAAGCCAACGAUCUGUAGCUGGUCUGAGAGGACGACCAGCCACACUGGGACUGAGACACGGCCCAGACUCCUACGGGAGGCAGCAGUGGGGAAUUUUGGACAAUGGGCGAAAGCCUGAUCCAGCCAUUCCGCGUGCAGGAUGAAGGCCUCGGUUGUAACGUAGCUUUGGUACGGAACGAAACGGACGAGCUCUAAUACAGUUUGCUAAUGACGGUACCGUAAGAAUAAGACACCGGCUAACUACGUAGCCAGC